Molecule: small nucleolar RNA, 143 nt
Filed under: Leptobrachium leishanense (Leishan spiny toad)
Lineage: Eukaryota; Metazoa; Chordata; Amphibia; Anura; Megophryidae
Description: Small nucleolar RNA SNORA64/SNORA10 family (ENSLLEG00000022235.1)
Rfam family: Small nucleolar RNA SNORA64/SNORA10 family
About the family: This family belongs to the H/ACA class of small nucleolar RNAs (snoRNAs) which act as guides in the the modification of uridines to pseudouridines. This family includes the human snoRNAs U64 and ACA10 and mouse MBI-29.
Source: Rfam by way of RNAcentral
AUUCUCUCAGCUCUGCUCAGUUACACUCGUCUCUCAUAGUGUCACUGACGUUACAAGGGAGAGAAAGCAACGGGAGCUUACAAAUGCACGGCAGGCUGGCCCUGACCCGUGGCCACCUUGUUCCUUUUUAAAGCUCGACACAA